RNAcentral lists this long non-coding RNA (674 nucleotides) under Olea europaea subsp. europaea. Lineage: Eukaryota; Viridiplantae; Streptophyta; Magnoliopsida; Lamiales; Oleaceae. The record is from RNAcentral.
ACACCAAUCCUGACUGUUGGAUCCAUUUUCUCCCUGAACACAAAAACCCUAAUUUUCACCCACUCUGCUCAUUAACCCUAAUACGCAGCUGGAACUGCUGCCGAGACAUUAACCAAACCCACCACCCGAAUUGGAGUCGGAUCUACACCGUAAAGAACCGUAAGUUCGCUGAUUCAAUUCUUCAUUUCAAUCAAUCUGCCAUUGCUCUAUGAGUAAAUGUUUUUGUAAUUUUGCAUUUUAAAUCGAUGACUGAAAUGAUACAAUUACUUUGAAAGUAAGACAAUGAGAAAAAUUAAAGAAUCAUAUGAAUCUGCAUUUGAUGUUACGUGUCUAUGUGAGUGUGAACGUGUUGGUUGAUAUGUACACAGUAUACAUGUGUGUCGUUGUGUUUAAAUCACUCCUAUGUGAUUUUUUUUUUUUUAAUUUGAAUGUUAAUACUGAAAUCUGAGAUGACUGAACAGAAUCUUACUACGCGUUUUAGGGAUCUGUAUACGAGUUUAGUAUUUGGGUUAUUGUAAUUUUAGCAAAGGAGAAUAGGUAAUCCUUUUCUAAAGUGGCCACUAUAUUUAUUUAUGUUUAGUGUUGAGAUGGAGAAGGGAGGGCUGAUUGUUCCGGAAUCUGUACUGAAGAAACAGAAGAGGAGUGAGGAAUGGGCUUUGGUGAAAAAGCAGGAA